GGCUGGGGGAGGUGAGGCAAGUUGAAUGGAAUCAACGGCGAUCCCAUUGCAUGGAGAUGGGGGCUUUAGAUCUGCUCUGCCUUUACCAGCAGCGCCCAGACAGUGAUACCUUUGUGCCUCAGGGUUCCCACCUGUGAAAUGGAUAGAUGUCUGUCUUGAAUGAUGUAGGUCCAUUUGGAGGCACGUGAGAAGCUGCGAGUGCCUGCAAAAACCUUCUCAACCCAAGAUUCUACCCAGGAAAGGCCAUGGCUUGAGAAUGUCUAAGAAGUGGUGAGAAACAGCUCCUGGAAAGAAGGUCCCCCUGAGAAUGUGCUCAAGGUACUCCCUUCCCCUCCCCCAGGUGGCCAGGCUGGCCACAAGGCCGCCCUAGACCUUGCUCCUUGGUCUCUCCUUCCUGUAGCCCAUGAUGGUGAUGACUCAGAAAGCAGGCGCUCAGAACACUCAUAAAGGCCGAUGUGCAGCUUCCUAGACCCAGGCAGGAGGUGAGCCUCAUGGCCUCCUCCUCCCGCCUGCCCCGUGAACUCUUAAACCUGGAGAUGUGCUGAGCCAGGAGCCAAUGGAAUGAACAUGGUUUCCACCGAGUAAAAUUAUCAGCGUGUUAACAGCUGCCCCCCAAACAGCUGGGGAUGCAUUCCCGCCCUGCACAUGCAGACAGCAGCAACAUUUGCUCAACCUGGGAGCUUCAGAGACAGGCAUGAAACUAAAUCUUCCAAAUCCAUUGAGGUGAGCCCAGAUGCACCAACCCAGAGGAUCCAAGGGCUCAGCCUUUUCCAGGCCAUUCCCGGGGCCCUCUGCUCACUCCCCUCCUUCCUCCAUCUCCUUCCUCCCCAUUCUUCAUGCCUCCCUCUCACCCUGCCCUGUGUGUCUGUGUCUUAUGAAUGCCUACGCAUCUGAUGCUCCCUAGGAAGCCCCUCACCAUGCAUACUCCUCCUCAGUGCCCCCUGCCCUAAGCAUCAGGCUUUCUUGACCGUCUAACACUGCACCUGUGCAAGUCCCACCCUGGCCUCUCUGGGGACAGUGAUGUUCUUUCCUUGCCCCCUGAGCCCCAUCAGUACUCGGGAGCUGGCACACAGGGAGUGCCCUCAAAUGGCUGUGGGACAAGUGAGAGGAAGGUGCUGUGACAGCUUGUUUUCAGCCAGUGGACCCACUGAAAUGGAUGGACAGGCUCAAGGGUCCUGAGAGUUGGGUCCCCAGGCCAGUGGAACCAGCGUCACCUGGAACUGAUGUUGCUAUUAACCCCAUUCUACAGAUGAGAGAGUGAGGCACAGAGAAGGGGAGUACUACAACCAAGAUUACACAGCAGGUGGGGAGACCGAGGCAGAGAUCAUGAGUGAAUCGCCCAAGUUCAUAGAGCUCACCACCGUGCCCCAUCAGGUCUGUCUGACCCCAAGCAUGUGGCCUUCCUGCACGUGGUCUGCCUCUCCUUUAGAGCAGAGGGGGACAAAUCCAGGGUGCACUAUUCUGGAGAGACCUUGCUUUGUCCAGUACCUCUGAUGGGAGUGAGGCUUGGUCGGAAUGAGAAGGAAAAAUAUUCUGCCUCCAGGCAUGGCCUCUGUCUAAGCCUGUGCUCUCUGCCCCAGCUGUACCUGUCUGAACAAGGGACUUUGAAGAUGUAUUUAAGAUGAGGUCAUAUUGGAUCACCAUGGACCCUAAAUCCAAUGACUGAAGAGGCAAGGACACAUGUGGAUGGGAGAAGGCCAUGUGAAGUGGAGGCAGAGAUUUGAGUGAUGCAUCUAUAAGCCAAGAAACACCAAGGACUGCCAGCAACCACCAGAAGCUGGAAGAGGCAAGGAAGGAUUCUACCCUACAGAUUUCAGAGGGAGUAUGGCCCUGCCAACACCUUGAUUUUGGACAUCUAGUCUCCAGAACUAUGAGGUAAUAUAUUUCUAUCAUUUUAAGCCAUCCAGUUUGUAGUACUUUAUGGUGGCCACAUUAAUCUAAUGCAGACAGCCUGAAGUCCUCAGGUCACUUAUGAUCUGAGGCCCCUAAUAAAGAUUCCAGAAUAUAAAUAACUUUCAUUCAUUCAUUCAUUCAUCACUCAGAUAUUUCUCCUGUGCCUGCUAUUUGUGGGUCUUUGUUCUAGUAGCUGGGGACAUGGGACAAAACCCACUGCCCUCCUGGAG
Molecule: long non-coding RNA, 2123 nt
Filed under: Homo sapiens (human)
Lineage: Eukaryota; Metazoa; Chordata; Mammalia; Primates; Hominidae
Description: HSALNT0000919
Source: RNAcentral